RNAcentral lists this long non-coding RNA (602 nucleotides) under Mytilus galloprovincialis (Mediterranean mussel). Lineage: Eukaryota; Metazoa; Mollusca; Bivalvia; Mytilida; Mytilidae. The record is from RNAcentral.
CAGGCGGGCGGCAACCAAAUGUUGUCCGUGCAUUUACUCAUGAAGCGUUCAACCAAAUCUUUUAAAAUUUUAAUAUGUUGUUACUGACAACAAAAUGGAGGUCAAGUUCAAUAAUGACGAUUUUGACUUUUACCGUUCAGGAGUUACGGUUCUUGAAAGUUUAAAAAAUGUUGUGUCCGUGCAUUUACUCAUGAACCAGUCAACCAAACCUUUUAAAAUUUUAAUAUGUUGUUACUGACAACAAAAUGGAGGUCAAGUUCAAUAAUGACGAUUUUGACUUUUACCGUUCAGGAGUUACGGUUCUUGAAAGUUUAAAAAAUGUUGUGUCCAUGCAUUUACUCAUGAACCGUUCAACCAAACCUUUUUAGAUAUUUUCAAAAUCCUAGGUAGGUGGACUUAGUAAUUUUUUCUUACUUUAUGCAUUAAGGGCACACAGUUUGUCCUGCUAGAGGGUCAUUUUCUAUCUAGUUUAUAUGUUGUUAUUGUUGACAACAUGGAAGUCAAGUUUGAUAUUGAUAAUCAUAAAUUUUACCUAUUAGGAGUUUUGGUCCUUGUAAUAUUGAUAAAUGCCAGAACACAAAUAAAUGUUAAAGAAUCCGGUU